Molecule: ribosomal RNA, 292 nt
Filed under: uncultured bacterium
Lineage: Bacteria
Description: partial 16S ribosomal RNA
Rfam family: Bacterial small subunit ribosomal RNA
Source: RNAcentral
GUGCCAGCAGCCGCGGUAAGACGAACCGUGCGAACGUUGUUCGGAAUCACUGGGCUUAAAGGGCGCGUAGGCGGGCUGCCAAGUCCGGGGUGAAAUCCUGCGGCUUAACCGCGGAACUGCCCCGGAUACUGGCGGCCUCGAGUGGGGUAGGGGCGUGCGGAACUCUGGGUGGAGCGGUGAAAUGCGUUGAUAUCCAGAGGAACUCCGGUGGCGAAGGCGGCACGCUGGACCCCUCCUGACGCUGAGGCGCGAAAGCCAGGGGAGCGAACGGGAUUAGAUACCCCUGUAGUCC